CUUGGUCUUCAGAGGAGCUGGUCUUCAGAGGACCUGGUCUUCAGAGGACCUGGUCUUAAAAUACCUGGUCUUCAGAGGACCUGGUCUUAAAGGACAUGUCUUCAGAGGACCUGGUCUUCAGAGGAGCUGGUCUUCAGAGGACCUGGUCUUGAAGGUCCUGGUCUUGAAGGAGCUGGUCUUGAAGGAGCUGGUCUUGAAGGUCCAUGUACCUUCUAAGGUGUUGCUAAGCUCUGCUCAGCUCAGGGUGACGGCUAAAGAAAAGGAUAAACUUGGGAGGUUUGAGGAAACAAUUGUGGUGUUUCAGCAUCAAAGAAAGAAAGAGAGGCCAGGGGACGGGGGCCUGAGGCCAGGGGUUCGGGGGCCAGAGGCCAGAGUCCUGAGGCCAGGUCUCGGGGGCCAGGGGCCUGAGGCCGGGGGCCAGGGAUGGUCGGGGAGCGUUCAGAUAACAAACAACCAAAACACAGUUCAGAAGCAGCUGGGUGCUGAGCCUGAGGGUCCUAACGCCACAACCCUGUUACCUGUCUGUGUAUCCAGUUCACCUUUGGAUGUGUGUGUGUGUGUGUGUGUGUGUGUGUGUGUGUGUGUGUGUGUGUGUGUGUGUGUGUGUGUAUGUGUGUGUGUGUUUGGAAGUGUAUGUAUGUGUUUGAUUGUGCGUGUGCGGUUGGAUGUGUGUGUAUGUGCGUUUGGAUGUGGAUUGACCACAUACACAAUAGGUCUGAGUUUUUCUAAAGUUGAGAGCUACUGUAUUCCAAAGUGAAGAGACAGAGGAACGGGUGUGAAGACAGAAAUAAUAGUGUCAAUAAUUUUGAUUUAAUGUUGUCUAUUUUGCGCUGCUAAAAGCUAUGAUUUUUUUGUCAUUUCUUAUAAACAACAAAAUAACAUUACCUAGUCGUGAUGGGUCACUUGAGUGUGCUGCUAUUUUAUAAACUUUGUGUUAUAAUAUAAUUAUUUUACUGCUUAAGAGAUGCAUUCAGAAAUCAUGCCGGGGCGAACAGUAGAACAGUGGACUGGAAACUUACACACGCACACACACAUGCUCACAAAGAACACACAUGACCACACAAACACGCACACACACACACGGACCUCCAGUCCCAGGCAGAUCUGCGUUGUUGUGUAUUGUUUCACAUUUUGUUUUGUUUUUGAGUUUUUUGGGGAGGAGGUCGUCUUGUUGGACACUUCAGGAUCUCACUUGGCUCCAGCUGUAUGGGAGGGGGGGGGGGGUCUGAGCCUGGUUCCUCAUGGUUCCUCAUAGGGUUCCAGAGGUCAGCUAGCCCCGCCCCCCGGGUAUACAGCACCAAUCACUUCAUGUACCUCAAUGUCUGCUGCUCCACCUUGGUCAAUAAACUUCUGCUUUCAGA
This is a long non-coding RNA of Gadus macrocephalus (Pacific cod), 1361 nucleotides long. RefSeq lists it as uncharacterized. NCBI's taxonomy places the organism in Eukaryota, Metazoa, Chordata, Actinopteri, Gadiformes, Gadidae. The record is from RefSeq and is a predicted model, not a curated record. The transcript is spliced from 2 exons.